CAAUAGCGUAUAUUAAAGUUGUUGCAGUUAGAACGCUCGUAGUCGGAUUUCGGGGCGGGCCGACCGGUCUACCGAUGGGUAUGCACUGGUCGGCGCGUCCUUCCUUCCGGAGACCGUCCCUACUCUUAACUGAGCGGGGGCGGGAGACGGGACUUUUACUUUGAAAAAAUCAGAGUGUUUCAAGCAGGCAGCUCGCUCUUGCAUGGAUUAGCAUGGGAUAAUGAAAUAGGACUUUGGUGCUAUUUUGUUGGUUUCGAACACCGAAGUAAUGAUGAGAAGGGACAGUCAGGGGCACUCGUAUUCCGCCGAGAGAGGUGAAAUUCUCAGACCAGCGGAAGACGAACCACUGCGAAAGCAUUUGCCAGGGAUGUUUUCACUGA
RNAcentral lists this ribosomal RNA (380 nucleotides) under uncultured eukaryote. RNAcentral describes it as "partial 18S ribosomal RNA". It matches the Rfam family "Eukaryotic small subunit ribosomal RNA", at positions 592 to 976 of the family's 1831-position model. The record is from RNAcentral.